RNAcentral lists this small RNA (86 nucleotides) under Buttiauxella agrestis ATCC 33320. RNAcentral's name for it is "sroB RNA". It matches the Rfam family "sroB RNA". Lineage: Bacteria; Pseudomonadati; Pseudomonadota; Gammaproteobacteria; Enterobacterales; Enterobacteriaceae. The record is from Rfam by way of RNAcentral.
CAUCUGGUCGUUUAUUCGACCAGCAUAAUUACAACAAUAUAGAAAUUCCUCUUUGACGGGCCGAUAGCGAUAUUGGCCGUUUUUUU